AGUGAACGCUGGCGGUAGGCCUAACACAUGCAAGUCGAACGGCAGCACAGUAAGAGCUUGCUCUUACGGGUGGCGAGUGGCGGACGGGUGAGGAAUACAUCGGAAUCUACUUUUUCGUGGGGGAUAACGUAGGGAAACUUACGCUAAUACCGCAUCCGACCUACGGGUGAAAGCAGGGGAUCUUCGGACCUUGCGCGAUUGAAUGAGCCGAUGUCGGAUUAGCUAGUUGGCGGGGUAAAGGCCCACCAAGGCGACGAUCCGUAGCUGGUCUGAGAGGAUGAUCAGCCACACUGGAACUGAGACACGGUCCAGACUCCUACGGGAGGCAGCAGUGGGGAAUAUUGGACAAUGGGCGCAAGCCUGACCCAGCCAUACCGCGUGGGUGAAGAAGGCCUUCGGGUUGUAAAGCCCUUUUGUUGGGAAAGAAAAGCAGCAGGUUAAUACCCCGCUGUUCUGACGGUACCCAAAGAAUAAGCACCGGCUAACUUCGUG
RNAcentral lists this ribosomal RNA (492 nucleotides) under uncultured bacterium. RNAcentral's name for it is "partial 16S ribosomal RNA". It matches the Rfam family "Bacterial small subunit ribosomal RNA", at positions 29 to 507 of the family's 1533-position model. The record is from RNAcentral.